This 105-nucleotide microRNA precursor is filed under the name Marmota monax (woodchuck). Lineage: Eukaryota; Metazoa; Chordata; Mammalia; Rodentia; Sciuridae. The record is from RNAcentral.
AGAUGCAUCACCUGGAGACCUUUCUGAAAUGCAGAUUCUGCCCCAGGAAGUUUGGAGUGGGGACCCAGAGUUUGCAUUUCUAAACAGCUCCAAGGUGGUGCUAAG